Vidua chalybeata is the source of this 932-nucleotide long non-coding RNA. RefSeq lists it as uncharacterized. The transcript is spliced from 5 exons. Lineage: Eukaryota; Metazoa; Chordata; Aves; Passeriformes; Viduidae. The record is from RefSeq and is a predicted model, not a curated record.
CUGCGCCGCGCUGCCUUACCGAUUCUUCCUCCUUCUCCAUCCCCGUGGGCAUCUGCGGCACGGCCCGGUUGAUGGAGACGCAGUCGUUGAGAGACUCACGGAAUAUUUAGGGUUGGAAGGGAGCUCUGGAAACCAACCCGUGCAGCCAGGGUCACCUGAGGCAGCAAAUACAACUGCUGUUCGUGACAAACACAUGAUUUACAAAAUGAAGAAUAAAGAAUUGUGUCAGCUAGAGAAAGAGAGAGAGAGAAGGAAGAUGAAACAAGCACAGGAAUACACAGGAGGGAAACAGAAGCAGCAAGAACAUUGUGUUCAUCAAACACAGACACAAAUUAGCUUGGGAAAGAGAUCUGGAAAUUAUAUUAACUGCUGCUAUGAAAGCAUCAGUGGCAACAUUUUCCCUGCCCACCUUGCUCUGAGGUCGAUGUCAUUGCUUUGUGCUCAUCUGGAGUGGCAGCACCCACUGGACUGGGAAUGUUUCAUGUUCCAUGCAGAGAAAACCCUGAAAACCCCAAAAAUCUCUCCAGCUGGGGUAGAGCCACGGGCACUGCAAACACCCAGCUUCCAGAAGGCCAGGUCCUUGGGAAGAGGCAGGAUUCAUGGGAGAGCCAAUGCAGAGAAGAGCAGGAGCAGCUGGAACUUCAAAGAGAUCUGAAGAGGUGCCCAAACCACGUGGGACCAUUUCUGUGGAACCUGCACAGACUUUUCCCAUAGGAAAAUCAGGGAAUGUCACAGGCGUGAUGGGAAUUUCUAACCCUGAAAUCCUAAAUAAUCCUGUGAGAUUACAAAAAAGGACUUUGGUGCUUCUGGCUACUCCAGGUAUAGGGAAAAAAUCUUCCAAGACAAAAGAAUGGCUGGGUUUGGUAAUGUUCCUGCAGGUACCUGAGUUGUGUCACUAAUUAAUCAUUCCUGGAAACAAAGGAGAAAUAAAG